GUGAGUGAGUCGGUGAGGUCAGCAGCCGAGCCCACUGGGAACUUUCAGUGGUUCUCACCCCACUAACCAUGCAGGUUCUAGCUCGUGCGGGGUGGUUGAGGAUUGUGAUCUGGACAGCGCUCCAUAGAUAGCAGACAUCCAUUGAGUAUAGUGGAACCUUGUAUAUUUCAUCUGUUUAUAGUUGAUGAAAAGAAAUGUAAAUUAUUCAUUGAGAGAUGGCAAAUGUAUAUAUUGAGGAAUAUAUGAAUGUAAUAACGUGUAAUCUUUGUAUUUGAUUUAAAGUAAUCAAGAUACAAUGUGUGAAUGUUUAGUUAGUUUACUUUCA
This 325-nucleotide long non-coding RNA is filed under the name Ananas comosus (pineapple). RNAcentral's name for it is "long non-coding RNA (ACOM_LNC017815)". The record is from RNAcentral. Lineage: Eukaryota; Viridiplantae; Streptophyta; Magnoliopsida; Poales; Bromeliaceae.